RNAcentral lists this ribosomal RNA (477 nucleotides) under Arsenophonus endosymbiont of Spalangia cameroni. Its description in RNAcentral is "bacterial SSU rRNA". It matches the Rfam family "Bacterial small subunit ribosomal RNA", at positions 470 to 947 of the family's 1533-position model. The record is from RNAcentral. Lineage: Bacteria; Pseudomonadati; Pseudomonadota; Gammaproteobacteria; Enterobacterales; Morganellaceae.
UGACGUUAGCGACAGAAGAAGCACCGGCUAACUCCGUGCCAGCAGCCGCGGUAAUACGGAGGGUGCGAGCGUUAAUCGGAAUUACUGGGCGUAAAGGGCACGCAGGCGGUUAAUUAAGUUGGAUGUGAAAUCCCCGGGCUUAACCUGGGAAUGGCAUUCAAGACUGGUUAGCUAGAGUCUUGUAGAGGGGGGUAGAAUUCCAUGUGUAGCGGUGAAAUGCGUAGAGAUGUGGAGGAAUACCGGUGGCGAAGGCGGCCCCCUGGACAAAGACUGACGCUCAUGUGCGAAAGCGUGGGGAGCAAACAGGAUUAGAUACCCUGGUAGUCCACGCUGUAAACGAUGUCGAUUUGGAGGUUGUGGUCAAGAACUGUGGCCUCCGGAGCUAACGCGUUAAAUCGACCGCCUGGGGAGUACGGCCGCAAGGUUAAAACUCAAAUGAAUUGACGGGGGCCCCCACAAGCGGUGAGCAUGUGGUUA